RNAcentral lists this long non-coding RNA (788 nucleotides) under Carica papaya (papaya). Its description in RNAcentral is "long non-coding RNA (CPAP_LNC014443)". The record is from RNAcentral. Lineage: Eukaryota; Viridiplantae; Streptophyta; Magnoliopsida; Brassicales; Caricaceae.
UUAUCAAUAUUUGCUUCAAAAGGGAGGGGAAGAACCUGGAAUUAUAAACGGAGCUGUAUUUUUUAAUGAAAGAAAAACAAAAUCAUAUGAUACUCUCUUUUCCACUUCUCUCAAUUACGCAAAAACCGCAUAUAAAAUGGAACCGUAUUUGUCAUUCAAAUGAUAAACACGUACAUACAUAUAUGAUCCCGGCAAACGCACAAGAGAAAUGAUGAUAUAAAUAACAAACGAACAAAAAAACCAAAAAGAAAAAGACAGACAGGAGAAAUAUGCAUUAGAAAUGGUAAAUAACCCUUACUUUUUUAAAGUACUUCACUCAUUCGGCCGACUAAUCGGUAUAAACUGAAAAGAGCUAAGGAAAGCCUAUUUCCAAUAAAAUUUGACGAUGACGCUUGGACAAUCACAGAUCUCUCUCGAAAUCUUAUGAUACGCAGCUACAAAAAUUCGUCGGAUCUGAUCGGAUGAACCACACUCUUGUGACUGGCCCGGUCCAAAGCUGGUUCAGGAUCCAAAUCCGAUACGGAGCUGUACGUAGAAUCAACUGCAGAAUUACUACUCUCUCUAAAUUUCUAAUAAAUGAGGGAAUCUGAAACCCUAGCGGGCGAGAGAGAGAGAGAGAGAGUUUUCUUUAUAUAGUGGGCGGUGUGUAAAGAAGAGAAAAUGCCAAGCCAAAACGAAAGAGAGAGAGAGAGGUAACUUUUCCCAGCUUGACACCGAGGAGAAGCGGCAACGUGGCACCCGCACUCUUCAUGCAUUCACUAUGGGGUGUGAUCAUAUGCGAUCCGGAU